This 768-nucleotide ribosomal RNA is filed under the name Vibrio mediterranei. RNAcentral describes it as "bacterial SSU rRNA". It matches the Rfam family "Bacterial small subunit ribosomal RNA", at positions 382 to 1141 of the family's 1533-position model. The record is from RNAcentral. Lineage: Bacteria; Pseudomonadati; Pseudomonadota; Gammaproteobacteria; Vibrionales; Vibrionaceae.
GCUGAUGCAGCCAUGCCGCGUGUGUGAAGAAGGCCUUCGGGGUUGUAAAGCACUUUCAGCAGUGAGGAAGGCGGGUACGUUAAUAGCGUAUUCGUUUGACGUUAGCUGCAGAAGAAGCACCGGCUAACUCCGUGCCAGCAGCCGCGGUAAUACGGAGGGUGCGAGCGUUAAUCGGAAUUACUGGGCGUAAAGCGCAUGCAGGUGGUUCGUUAAGUCAGAUGUGAAAGCCCGGGGCUCAACCUCGGAACUGCAUUUGAAACUGGCGGACUAGAGUACUGUAGAGGGGGGUAGAAUUUCAGGUGUAGCGGUGAAAUGCGUAGAGAUCUGAAGGAAUACCGGUGGCGAAGGCGGCCCCCUGGACAGAUACUGACACUCAGAUGCGAAAGCGUGGGGAGCAAACAGGAUUAGAUACCCUGGUAGUCCACGCCGUAAACGAUGUCUACUUGGAGGUUGUGGCCUUGAGCCGUGGCUUUCGGAGCUAACGCGUUAAGUAGACCGCCUGGGGAGUACGGUCGCAAGAUUAAAACUCAAAUGAAUUGACGGGGGCCCGCACAAGCGGUGGAGCAUGUGGUUUAAUUCGAUGCAACGCGAAGAACCUUACCUACUCUUGACAUCCAGAGAAGCCAGCGGAGACGCAGGUGUGCCUUCGGGAGCUCUGAGACAGGUGCUGCAUGGCUGUCGUCAGCUCGUGUUGUGAAAUGUUGGGUUAAGUCCCGCAACGAGCGCAACCCUUAUCCUUGUUUGCCAGCGAGUAAUGUCGGGAACUCC